RNAcentral lists this ribosomal RNA (483 nucleotides) under uncultured bacterium. RNAcentral's name for it is "bacterial SSU rRNA". It matches the Rfam family "Bacterial small subunit ribosomal RNA", at positions 30 to 507 of the family's 1533-position model. The record is from RNAcentral.
AUUGAACGCUGGCGGCAUGCCUUACACAUGCAAGUCGAACGGCAGCACGGGAGCAAUCCUGGUGGCGAGUGGCGAACGGGUGAGUAAUGCAUCGGAACGUACCUUCAGUGGGGGAUAACGUAGCGAAAGUUACGCUAAUACCGCAUAUUCUGUGAGCAGGAAAGCAGGGGAUCGCAAGACCUUGCGCUGAUUGAGCGGCCGAUGUCAGAUUAGCUAGUUGGUGAGGUAAAGGCUCACCAAGGCGACGAUCUGUAGCGGGUCUGAGAGGAUGAUCCGCCACACUGGAACUGAGACACGGUCCAGACUCCUACGGGAGGCAGCAGUGGGGAAUUUUGGACAAUGGGGGCAACCCUGAUCCAGCCAUGCCGCGUGAGUGAAGAAGGCCUUCGGGUUGUAAAGCUCUUUCGGCCGGGAAGAAAUCGUAUGGGUUAAUACCCUGUGCGGAUGACGGUACCGGCAUAAGAAGCACCGGCUAACUACGUG